RNAcentral lists this ribosomal RNA (497 nucleotides) under uncultured bacterium. Its description in RNAcentral is "partial 16S ribosomal RNA". It matches the Rfam family "Bacterial small subunit ribosomal RNA", at positions 28 to 507 of the family's 1533-position model. The record is from RNAcentral.
GAUGAACGCUGGCGGCGUGCCUAAUACAUGCAAGUCGAGCGAACAGACGAGGAGCUUGCUCCUCUGACGUUAGCGGCGGACGGGUGAGUAACACGUGGAUAACCUACCUAUAAGACUGGGAUAACUUCGGGAAACCGGAGCUAAUACCGGAUAAUAUAUUGAACCGCAUGGUUCAAUAGUGAAAGGCGGUUUUGCUGUCACUUAUAGAUGUAUCCGCGCCGCAUUAGCUAGUUGGUAAGGUAACGGCUUACCAAGGCAACGAUGCGUAGCCGACCUGAGAGGGUGAUCGGCCACACUGGAACUGAGACACGGUCCAGACUCCUACGGGAGGCAGCAGUAGGGAAUCUUCCGCAAUGGGCGAAAGCUUGACGGAGCAACGCCGCGUGAGUGAUGAAGGUCUUCGGAUCGUAAAACUCUGUUAUUAGGGAAGAACAAAUGUGUAAGUAACUAUGCACGUCUUGACGGUACCUAAUCAGAAAGCCACGGCUAACUACGUG